RNAcentral lists this long non-coding RNA (818 nucleotides) under Gallus gallus (chicken). RNAcentral's name for it is "long non-coding RNA NONGGAT003122". Lineage: Eukaryota; Metazoa; Chordata; Aves; Galliformes; Phasianidae. The record is from RNAcentral.
CAGAGCAGCAGGGAUGGAGGGCCGGGGAGGAUGCAAAGGAGGACCUUCCCCCUAGGCAGGAACAAGGAGGUCCAUAUUCCUGGAGUAGGUGCACAGCAGGAGAAACACACAACCAGUGCCAUGGGACAGGAGCACCCCGCAGGAGUGGGGCACAGCAUGGGAGGUGCACGUCCUCCAUCCCACCCCAUGCACAACCAUCGAGCAACCGCUGCAAAUCGGAUGAGGCUCAACCCCGGAGGCCCUCCAUUGAUUUCCGUUGCCUAACGACGGGAAAGCUUUAUAAUCCUAUUAACUAAACACCCUUUCAAGCAGCAGUGGCAGAAGCACCAAGGGGACUUGUGUAAGCAGGAGGAGCCACCCAGUGCAGAACACAGCUCCGUGAAUGCUGGGGGGUCCCCCAAAUGUGAGGCUGUGACACCUGCAGGUGCAGUGCUGGGUCUGACCCACAAACCAAGCAGGUGUUUGGCACAGGGGCUGGGAGCUCUUGCAUAGGACAGCAGUGCCCGGGCACACAAAUUUGCAAGAGCUGGCCCCAGAAUAUCAACAUAUCACUGCAUUUUAGUCUGUUCUUAAUUACCAACACUCCAGUGUUUGCACUUGGAGAAGUUCUCCAGCAAAAGACAGGCCACCGUUGAAAUAUUUCACAGAAAAAGGUGAAUUUUGUUGCUCCAGUUGCUGUGCACAAGUGCUUGCCCAUCACCAUGGAAAUGCUGAAGAGAGCUCAGGGCCUGCUGGGGCUUUCAUCCUCCUCCAAGCAAAACCAGGGCCUUGGGCAGUCACCAGCCUAUGGCACUCAGAGGAGCAGCAAUGGGUUCGUG